GAUGAACGCUGGCGGCGUGCUUAACACAUGCAAGUCGAACGAUGAAGCCCAGCUUGCUGGGUGGAUUAGUGGCGAACGGGUGAGUAACACGUGAGUAACCUGCCCUUAACUCUGGGAUAAGCCUGGGAAACUGGGUCUAAUACCGGAUAGGAGCGUCCACCGCAUGGUGGGUGUUGGAAAGAUUUAUCGGUUUUGGAUGGACUCGCGGCCUAUCAGCUUGUUGGUGAGGUAAUGGCUCACCAAGGCGACGACGGGUAGCCGGCCUGAGAGGGUGACCGGCCACACUGGGACUGAGACACGGCCCAGACUCCUACGAGAGGCAGCAGUGGGGAAUAUUGCACAAUGGGCGAAAGCCUGAGGCAGCGACGCCGCGUGAGGGAUGACGGCCUUCGGGUUGUAAACCUCUUUCAGUAGGGAAGAAGCGAAAGUGACGGUACCUGCAGAAGAAGCACCGGCUAACUACGU
Molecule: ribosomal RNA, 465 nt
Filed under: uncultured bacterium
Lineage: Bacteria
Description: partial 16S ribosomal RNA
Rfam family: Bacterial small subunit ribosomal RNA
Source: RNAcentral